UAUUAUACAGUGACUUCACCUAGGAUGAAGGAGGCAAGCUCAAAGAAAAAAAAAAAGUGAGACAUUCAACUAACAUGUGUCGAAGUGCGUGUAAACUGGCUCGGACAUCCCAAUUAGUAAUGUAUUAUAUUGUGAAACCAAGUCGGUGACAUUUGAUCCAAUGCAUUGCGUCAAAUGUUUUAGAAUAUUUCAUUGUUUAUUAUCCUAGAUGACUUUGCAAGCUCAAAGAAAAAAAAAAAAACGUGAGACAUUCAACUAAUCUCGCGUUGUCGAAGUGCGUGUAAACUGGCCCGAACAUCCCGGUUAGCAAUGUAUUAUAUUGUGAAACCAAGUCGGUGACAUUUGAUCCAAUGCAUUGCGUCAAAUGUUUUAGAAUAUUCCAUUGUUUAUUAUCCUAGAUGACUUUGCAAGCUCAAAGAAAAAAAAAAGUGAGAUUCAACUAAUCUGGCGUUGUCGAAGUGCGUGUAAACUGGCCCGAAUAUCCCGGUUAGCAAUGUAUUAUAUUGUGAAACCAAGUUGGUGACAUUUGAACCAAUGCAUUGUGUCAAAUAUUUUAGAAUAUUCUGUUGUUUAUUAUCUAGAUGACUUUGCAAGCUCAAACAAAAAGAAAAAAGGUGAGACAUUCAACUAACCUGGCAUUGUCGAAGUGCGAGUAAACUGGCCCGGACAUCCCGGUUAGUAAUGUAUUAUAUUGGGAAACCACGUCGGUGACAUUUGAUCCAAUGCAUUGUUUCAAAUGUUUUAGAAUAUUCUGUUGUUUAUUAUCGACUUUGCAAGCUCAAAGAAAAAAAAGAAAAAGAAAAAAGGUGAGACAUUCAACUAAUCUGGCAUUGUCGAAGUGCGAGUAAACUGGCUCGGACAUCCCGGUUAGUAAUGUAUUAUAUUUGGAAACCAAGUCGGUGACAUUUGAUCCAAUGCAUUGUGUUAAAUGUUUUAGAAUAUUUUGUUGUUUAUUAUCUAGAUGACUUUGCAAGCUCAAAGAAAAAAAGAAAAAGAAAAAAGGUGAGACAUUCAACUAACCUGGCAUUGU
This 1030-nucleotide long non-coding RNA is filed under the name Aquilegia coerulea. RNAcentral describes it as "long non-coding RNA (ACOE_LNC001084)". Lineage: Eukaryota; Viridiplantae; Streptophyta; Magnoliopsida; Ranunculales; Ranunculaceae. The record is from RNAcentral.